RNAcentral lists this ribosomal RNA (482 nucleotides) under uncultured bacterium. RNAcentral describes it as "bacterial SSU rRNA". It matches the Rfam family "Bacterial small subunit ribosomal RNA", at positions 17 to 518 of the family's 1533-position model. The record is from RNAcentral.
UCCUGGCUUAGGAUGAACGCUGGCGGCGUGCUUAACACAUGCAAGUUGCGCGGUGAUCUCAAGAAGUUUCGGACGGAAAGGGAGAGCAGCAGCGGACGGGUGAGUAAAGCACAAGGACUUGUCCCGAAGAGGGGGACAACUGUGGGAAACCACAGCUAAUACCCCAUAAGCCGAGAGGUGAAAGCAGUAAUGCGCUUUAGGAGAGACUUGUGUCCUAUCAGGUAGUUGGUGAGGUAACGGCUCACCAAGCCGAAGACGGGUAGCCGGACUGAGAGGUUGUACGGCCACAUUGGAACUGAGAGACGGUCCAGACUCCUACGGGAGGCAGCAGUGGGGAAUAUUGGGCAAUGGGGGGCCAACCCUGACCCAGCGACGCCGCGUGAGGGAAGACAGCCUUCGGGUUGUAAACCUCUGUUGCAGGGGAAGAAGAAAGUGACGGUACCCUGCGAGGAAGCUCCGGCAAACUACGUGCCAGCCGCCGC